GUGGGGAAUAUUGGACAAUGGGCGAAAGCCUGAUCCAGCCAUGCCGCGUGUGUGAAGAAGGUCUUCGGAUUGUAAAGCACUUUAAGUUGGGAGGAAGGGCAGUAAGUUAAUACCUUGCUGUUUUGACGUUACCGACAGAAUAAGCACCGGCUAACUUCGUGCCAGCAGCCGCGGUAAUACGAAGGGUGCAAGCGUUAAUCGGAAUUACUGGGCGUAAAGCGCGCGUAGGUGGUUUUGUAAGUUGGAGGUGAAAUCUCCGGGCUCAACCUGGGAACUGCCUCCAAAACUGCAUGACUAGAGUACGGUAGAGGGUAGUGGAAUUUCCUGUGUAGCGGUGAAAUGCGUAGAUAUAGGAAGGAACACCAGUGGCGAAGGCGACUACCUGGACUGAUACUGACACUGAGGUGCGAAAGCGUGGGGAGCAAACAGGAUUAGAAACCCUAGUAGUCC
This 450-nucleotide ribosomal RNA is filed under the name uncultured bacterium. RNAcentral describes it as "partial 16S ribosomal RNA". It matches the Rfam family "Bacterial small subunit ribosomal RNA", at positions 354 to 796 of the family's 1533-position model. The record is from RNAcentral.